AGAAGAGUCAGCUAAUUCAAGCUUCUGGGCCCAUACCCCAAAAAUGUGGGUUAAACCCCCACCUCUCCUA
RNAcentral lists this transfer RNA (70 nucleotides) under Echiichthys vipera (lesser weever). Its description in RNAcentral is "tRNA-Met". It matches the Rfam family "tRNA". Rfam says of the family: Transfer RNA (tRNA) molecules are approximately 80 nucleotides in length. Their secondary structure includes four short double-helical elements and three loops (D, anti-codon, and T loops). Lineage: Eukaryota; Metazoa; Chordata; Actinopteri; Perciformes; Trachinidae. The record is from RNAcentral.